RNAcentral lists this ribosomal RNA (485 nucleotides) under uncultured bacterium. RNAcentral describes it as "partial 16S ribosomal RNA". It matches the Rfam family "Bacterial small subunit ribosomal RNA", at positions 29 to 523 of the family's 1533-position model. The record is from RNAcentral.
AGUGAACGCUGGCGGCGUGCUUAACACAUGCAAGUCGAACGAGAACGGAAUAUAGCUUGCUAUAUUUGUCAGCUAAGUGGCGCACGGGUGAGUAAUGUAUAGAUAACCUGCCCUUAAGAAAGGAAUAACAGUUGGAAACGACUACUAAUGCCCUAUAUGCCUUUAAUACAUAAGUAUGCAAGGGAAACGCUUUAGUGCUUAAGGAUGGGUCUGUAUGGUAUCAGCUUGUUGGUGAGGUAAUGGCUCACCAAGGCUAUGACGCCUAACUGGUUUGAGAGGAUGAUCAGUCACGAUGGAACUGAGACACGGUCCAGACUCCUACGGGAGGCAGCAGUGGGGAAUAUUGCACAAUGGACGAAAGUCUGAUGCAGCAACGCCGCGUGGAGGAUGACACAUUUCGGUGCGUAAACUCCUUUUAUAUAGGAAGAUAAUGACGGUACUAUAUGAAUAAGCACCGGCUAACUCCGUGCCAGCCGCCGCGGUAA